Molecule: ribosomal RNA, 484 nt
Filed under: uncultured bacterium
Lineage: Bacteria
Description: partial 16S ribosomal RNA
Rfam family: Bacterial small subunit ribosomal RNA
Source: RNAcentral
GACGAACGCUGGCGGCGUGCUUAACACAUGCAAGUCGAACGAUGAAGCCGGAGCUUGCUCUGGUGAAUUAGUGGCGAACGGGUGAGUAACACGUGAGUAACCUGCCCUUGACUCUGGGAUAACUGCGGGAAACUGUAGCUAAUACCGGAUACGACCCUCGGAGGCAUCUCCUGGGGGUGGAAGGAAUUUCGGUCAAGGAUGGACUCGCGGCCUAUCAGCUAGUUGGUGAGGUAAAGGCUCACCAAGGCGACGACGGGUAGCCGGCCUGAGAGGGUGACCGGCCACACUGGGACUGAGACACGGCCCAGACUCCUACGGGAGGCAGCAGUGGGGAAUAUCGCACAAUGGGCGCAAGCCUGAUGCAGCAACGCCGCGUGAGGGAUGACGGCCUUCGGGUUGUAAACCUCUUUUAGCAGGGAAGAAGCGAAAGUGACGGUACCUGCAGAAAAAGCACCGGCUAACUACGUGCCAGCCGCCGCGGUAA